RNAcentral lists this ribosomal RNA (536 nucleotides) under Bacteroidota bacterium. RNAcentral's name for it is "Bacteroidetes bacterium (human oral metagenome) partial 23S ribosomal RNA". It matches the Rfam family "Bacterial large subunit ribosomal RNA", at positions 2237 to 2770 of the family's 2925-position model. The record is from RNAcentral. Lineage: Bacteria; Pseudomonadati; Bacteroidota.
GAUCGGGUUUUGGGACAGUGCCUGGUGGGUAGUUUAACUGGGGCGGUUGCCUCCUAAAUGGUAACGGAGGCGCCCAAAGGUUCCCUCGGCUUGGUUGGUAAUCAGGUUUGUAGAGUGUAAGUGCAAUAAGGGAGCUUGACUGUGACACUGACGGGUGGAGCAGGUGCGAAAGCAGGGACUAGUGAUCCGGCACCUACGUGUGGUUGUGGUGUCGCUCAACGGAUAAAAGGUACCCCGGGGAUAACAGGCUGAUCUUCCCCAAGAGUUCAUAUCGACGGGAUGGUUUGGCACCUCGAUGUCGGCUCGUCGCAUCCUGGGGCUGGAGUAGGUCCCAAGGGUUGGGCUGUUCGCCCAUUAAAGCGGCACGCGAGCUGGGUUUAGAACGUCGUGAGACAGUUCGGUCUCUAUCCGCCGCGCGCGUGGAAACUUGAACAAGGCUGUCCCUAGUACGAGAGGACCGGGAUGGACGUACCUCUAGUGUGCCAGUUGUCACGCCGGUGGCAUGGCUGGUUGGCUAUGUGCGGGAGGGAUAACCG